GCGGGAGCAGGGAGCGCCGGGACCAAGGAGGGUCGGAGGCGGGCCGGGACCAUGCGGGGCGUCGGGAGCCGGGGGGACCGGCGGGGUUCCGGGAGCCGGGGGGGCCGGCGGAGUUCCGGGAGCCGGGGAGGCCGGCGGAGGUUCAGGGGCCGGGGUGACCGGCGGAGGUUCAGGGGCCGGGGUGACCGGCGGGGGUUCAGGGGCCGGGGUGACCGGCGGAGGACCGGAAGCCAGGGGAGGACCGGCGGCCGGGGGAGCCGGCGAAGGUCUAUGACUCGGCUGAGGAUCAGGGGCCGGCUGAGGGUCAGGGGCCGGCUGAGGGCCAGGGGCCGGCUGAGGGCCAGGGGCCGGCUGAGGGCCAGGGGCCGGCUGAGGGCCAGGAGCCAGGAGAGCCGGCUGAGGGCCAGGAGCCAGGAGAGCCGGCUGAGGGCCAGGAGCCAGGAGAGCCGGCGGAGGGCCAGGAGCCGGGAGAGCCGGCGGAGGGCCAGGAGCCGGGAAAUCCGGCGGAGGGCCAGGAGCCGGGAGAGCCGGCGGAGGGCCAGGAGCCGGGAGAGCCGGCGGAGGGCCAGGAGCCGGGAGAGCCGGCGGAGGGCCAGGAGCCGGGAGAGCCGGCGGAGGGCCAGGAGCCGGGAGAGCCGGCGGAGGGCCAGGAGCCGGGAGAGCCGGCGGAGGGUCAGAGGCCGGGAGAGCCGACGGAGGGUCGGGGACCGGCUGAGGAUCCGGCUGAGGAUCCGGCUGAGGAUCCGGCGGAGGACCAGACGGAGGACCAGACGGAGGACCAGACGGAGGACCAGACGGAGGAGCCGGGGCCGGCGGAGGAGCCGG
Molecule: long non-coding RNA, 825 nt
Organism: Esox lucius (northern pike)
Lineage: Eukaryota; Metazoa; Chordata; Actinopteri; Esociformes; Esocidae
Source: Ensembl